RNAcentral lists this ribosomal RNA (252 nucleotides) under uncultured bacterium. RNAcentral's name for it is "partial 16S ribosomal RNA". It matches the Rfam family "Bacterial small subunit ribosomal RNA", at positions 524 to 776 of the family's 1533-position model. The record is from RNAcentral.
UACGGGGGGGCAAGCGUUGUCCGGAUUUACUGGGCGUAAAGCGCGCGUAGGCGGAAACGCCAGUCCGGCCUGAAAGCCCCCGGCUCAACCGGGGAGAGUGGCUGGAAACUGCGUUUCUUGAGGGCGAGAGAGGAGGGUGGAAUUCCUGGUGUAGCGGUGAAAUGCGUAGAGAUCAGGAGGAACACCCGGGGCGAAGGCGGCCCUCUGGCUCGACCCUGACGCUGAGGCGCGAAAGCGUGGGGAGCGAACGGG